CAGCAGUAGUCAGCGCCACUCUGCAACGGCACAUGUGGCUUCCCACAAAGUCAUUUUCUGCAUCCUGGCCUUACUUGCAAACGGAAAAGGAAUUGGAUGUAAACAAUGAUGUGGUGGCCAUCACACCAGUGCAGGAGGGUUUGGCAGAGCUGUCCACUGAUGUCUGCAACUGCUUUGAAUGCAUUAAGGAAGGACAUGGCUGGGAGCACCGACGCACUGUUAGACAGGAGAUGAAAGCAAGUGUUUCGAAAGUGUUGCUGGGCCUGAACUCUUGGAUCCAACACGCUGAAUCAGAAGCUCAAAGCUAGAGUUACCUCUUGGAGACAACAUGUGGCAUUUGUCCUUCUGGGCCCAGAUGACCUCAUUCAGUAUAUAUUUUUCAGUCUCAUCCAUUUACUUGCAUAUUUUUGUAAUUUCAUUUUUUUUCCUGAAUAAAAUUACAUUGUAAAUAGGUGCCAUAUUUUAAUUAUCUAUUCCUCAGUUUUAUUUCCUGGCUAAAGUGACUAGAGCAAAAGGUGUUUUUAUAUUGUUAUUAGAUAGAGAACAAUUCAAGAUAAAAAGUAUUGGAAGGGUUAAAAAGUGCUAAUACAUGUUGAUGGACUAUUUAAUCAAACCAUUGGAAACAACAGAACAGAACCUUCAGAAACCCAACAGUAAGGGCACAUGAAGCAAAUGUUCCCCAAUGUUGACAUGUAUGAGGCCCCACUGAAAGUCUCAGAGCCUGAUCAAUACAGAUCUCUGCUUAUAUAGAGACCAUGGCCCCAUAAAACACCCAGUCUUAUCCUUAAGUAAUAGGAAGAAAGGGUCACCAAAGACAAAUACCCUGACUAGCAUUAUAAAACUUGGUGAACUUGAACUUGAAUUUGGUUUUUAAGACAGAGUCUUUCUACAUAGUAGUUAUAGGAGUUUUGGAACUCCCUUUGUAAACUAGGCUGAUCUCAAAUGCUCAGAGAUCCUCCUGCCUCUACCUCCUUAGUGCUAGGAUUAAAGUUGUGCACCACCAUACCUGGCUUACACUUACAUUAAUAAUAGGAAGAAAAACAAAACAAAACAAAACAUAACAAAACCAAAUCAAACCAAACUCAUAGUUGUAUGGAAGUUUGCUCAGAGAUUUGGAUGUUUAUAUUAGUAUCAUAAAGACCUAAAAGUAUUCUUCGUCCUUAAAACAUCCCCUGCCUUGCUUGAGACAUAGAUUAACUCUCACUCUGUAGAUGAGGCUGCUCUUGAACAUGAUAAGCAAUCCCCGUCUCAGACUCCCAAGUGCUGGGAAUAGAGGCAUGUGCUAGCAUGUCCAACAGAAGUAGCCUAUCUUUAUUUUAAUGAAUGAACAAACGAACGAAUGAAUUUUUGAGACAGAGUCCUUCUGUGGCAGCCCAGGCUGGCCUUGCAUCUGUAGUCCUUGGCUUGUCUUAGCCUUGAGGCUGGCACUAGAGGUAUGGACCACCCUGCAACUGCCCAAAUUGUCUGUCUUUAAAUUUAGCAUGUGGUUUAAGAAGAGAUUCUUUUAGGUCACCCAUUUAUUUAUAGUAUAUUGUCACACACAAACAUGCAUACUGAAUCAUUGCACUGCGUCACAAAUAUGCAGAAACACACCGUCCCUAGUUCCUUCUCACUUCCCAAUUCUCUGUAUCACAAGGUGAGCGCCUCUGUGUGGCCACACCCUUCUAGCCACUGUGCUCUGCCUCACUCUUUGUGCCAGUCUACCAUGGACCAGAGCCUCUGAAACUCUCAGCCAAAGUAAAGCUUUCCUCCUUGAAGCUGUUUGUCUUCAGGUAUCUCAUACAGGGAGAAAAACAAACACAAAACUGAUGGACAUCCCCGGCAGUGCGUUUCUAGGCAACUCACCUAAUGACUUUAACCCUCAGUUUUCUCCCUGUAAAACACAGGUAACACCACCACCUUCCUUUAAAGUUAUUCUAUCUAGGGCUUUGUUUUGGGAAUUGAAUGUGAUGAUGCAUUGAAAACCUUAGUAGAGUUUAUGAUAAUAAUGUUAGUGGCUGCAGCAUUUGUUGCUACUGUAACUGUUGGAAUAAUGGUGUAUAUUGUGGGCACUGCAGACACGCAGAAGGCCCUCUCUGCAUCUUUAGCAGAGCAAGCAUCAGGUGUAGGAGCAGAAUCCGAGUUUGUUCCCAGUUACAGCUCACAAUCCUCUGAUAUAAUGUAUGGACCAAUCACCAGAAUGUGUCGAUUAGAAUCUCAUUGAUGGAAGAAGUCAUGGGUGAUAAUUUGUUUCCCUUCAUUUAAGCAGCUUUCCCUGGUGGUCUUAAAAAAAUAAAUGCUUUGUUUUCUGGU
Mus musculus (house mouse) is the source of this 2292-nucleotide long non-coding RNA. RefSeq annotates it as predicted gene, 46262. The transcript is spliced from 3 exons. NCBI's taxonomy places the organism in Eukaryota, Metazoa, Chordata, Mammalia, Rodentia, Muridae. The record is from RefSeq and is a predicted model, not a curated record.